This is a non-coding RNA of Aneurinibacillus migulanus, 190 nucleotides long. The record is from Rfam. NCBI's taxonomy places the organism in Bacteria, Bacillati, Bacillota, Bacilli, Caryophanales, Paenibacillaceae.
UGAUGAGGUAGAGGUCGCGGGCUUCAAGAGUACGCUGUGGGAGAUGGGGAGAACAUCGAGGAACGCAGGGGAAAGGGAAGACCGCCGAAGUUUGCCUGGAUUCUCUAGACAGGCAGGCUGGGGCUGUUUCCGAAUAGGAACAGAACUGUCACGCGUACUUUCCGGAUACGCGUGUUGCGCUAUCUUGCAG